AGCAGCCGCGGUAAUUCCAGCUCCAAUAGCGUAUAUUAAAGUUGUUGCAGUUAAAAAGCUCGUAGUUGAAUUUCGGAAUCUGUCCGUCGGUCGGGCUUAACUGUCCGUACUGAUGUGAUGGGUUCUUACCUUCUGAAUAACCAGCAUGUCAUUAAUUUGGUGUGUUGGGGAAGCAGGACUAUUACCUUGAAAAAAUUAGAGUGCUCAAAGCAGGCUAGUGCCUGAAUACAUUAGCAUGGAAUAAUAAAAUAGGACGGCAUGGUUCUAUUUUGUUGGUUUCUAGGAUCACCGUAAUGAUUAAUAGGGAUAGUUGGGGGCAUUAGUAUUCAAUUGUCAGAGGUGAAAUUCUUGGAUUUAUUGAAGACUAACUUCUGCGAAAGCAUUUGCCAAGGAUGUUUUCAUUAAUCAAGGACGAAAGUUAGGGGAUCGAAGACGAUCAGAUACCGUCGUAGUCUUAACCAUAAACUAUGCCGACUAGGGAUCGGACGAUGUUAAUUUAUAAUGACUCGUUCGGCGUACC
Molecule: ribosomal RNA, 520 nt
Filed under: uncultured Glomeromycotina
Lineage: Eukaryota; Fungi; Glomeromycota
Description: SSU rRNA
Rfam family: Eukaryotic small subunit ribosomal RNA
Source: RNAcentral